Molecule: ribosomal RNA, 253 nt
Filed under: uncultured bacterium
Lineage: Bacteria
Description: partial 16S ribosomal RNA
Rfam family: Bacterial small subunit ribosomal RNA
Source: RNAcentral
UACGAAGGGGGCUAGCGUUGCUCGGAAUCACUGGGCGUAAAGGGUGCGUAGGCGGGUCUUUAAGUCAGGGGUGAAAUCCUGGAGCUCAACUCCAGAACUGCCUUUGAUACUGAAGAUCUUGAGUGCGGGAGAGGUGAGUGGAACUGCGAGUGUAGAGGUGAAAUUCGUAGAUAUUCGCAAGAACACCAGUGGCGAAGGCGGCUCACUGGCCCGAUACUGACGCUGAGGCACGAAAGCGUGGGGAGCGAACAGG